GCCAGCGUGGUGUAGUGGUUCGAAUGCUGGUCUAUGACCCUGGAGAGCAGGGUUCGAAUCCCCACUCAGCCA
This is a non-coding RNA of Phrynosoma platyrhinos (Desert horned lizard), 72 nucleotides long. The record is from the annotation of a GenBank genome assembly. NCBI's taxonomy places the organism in Eukaryota, Metazoa, Chordata, Lepidosauria, Squamata, Phrynosomatidae.